Molecule: ribosomal RNA, 306 nt
Filed under: Triticum aestivum (bread wheat)
Lineage: Eukaryota; Viridiplantae; Streptophyta; Magnoliopsida; Poales; Poaceae
Description: partial small subunit ribosomal RNA
Source: RNAcentral
AUGGCCGGCGGCGCUAUUCAGGUAGGAGAUAGCCACAAAUGCUAUAACCAGGGGGUGUUGAUUUUUUGCUUGGAUUGCCCCGCUGUGCUGCAUGCAUCAACGGCGGCCAGCAGCUACCCAUGCUGCAACCAGCAGGUCCUAGCGACGAAGAUGACGCCCUCUCGGUGCUUCAAUCGAAAAUUUGCUGGAACCAGCUCUCUGUUUUGCUGGAAACGGCAUCGCAGGGUGCUGGGACGGGCUCUCUGUUUUGCUACAAUCAAUCGCUGGGAGUUCUUCCUCAUGAGUCGUUUUGCUGGAACCGGGUAA